Molecule: long non-coding RNA, 1057 nt
Organism: Cimex lectularius (bed bug)
Lineage: Eukaryota; Metazoa; Arthropoda; Insecta; Hemiptera; Cimicidae
Exons: 4
Source: RefSeq, a predicted model, not a curated record
UUGGAACGCAAAACGGCGAUGUAGUGUAUGCAUAUAUUGGCGCGUCAAUAUUGUAUAUUUGCUUCAUCAGUACUGUAUGCUGCUUGUGAUUUCUCUAUGAAAAUCAAUCUUGUAUGUAGCGCUAUUUUACAUCGCCCUGCUCAUAAGCUUGAUAGUCUCCGAUCGUACUCUCGUUUUAUCUGUGGCACAUGUGUCGGCAUUUCGAUGUCUUCGGUGGUUUGUCUGUGUUCUGUUGUCAUCCGUGUCCUAUAGACCAUUGAAGAUGGCCAUAUUAAACGGUUUAAAUCCUUCAACAAUAGGCAAUUAUUUUAAAUUCUCCCGACGUUUGGUGUGUUUGCCGAUUCCUUGUUUGCAAUGGAGCUUAUAACUUAUAGAUCAACUAAGUCGGAACCGCAGGGAGACUUUUAAUAAAUUAAUUAAUUUAAAUGCUGGCAGUUUGGUCGCUCUUUUGAUGGGCGAUUGGCCGACUUUCUCUGAUAAGUGGCUUUUUAAAUCACGUAAUAUUGCGGCUCACCGGCCCGAGGAUAAACCGUUCUGCCCUUUUGAACUAGUUUCGUUUUUCAAACUGUAAAUUAUUUGACUAAUGCCGUUUGACUACCCAUCAUUUACCCGUUUAUGAAACAGAAGCAGAUGAACUGAUCCCGAGGAUGGCGCAGAGAGUAAAACGCUUUGGACCGAGGGUAAACACAUAAAUUGUACAAACUGGUCUUUUUUAAAUCACACGCUCAUUAAUAAUUAGUGUAGAGCGUUAGAGUGAGAGAUACCAACGAACUGCAUAUGUAUGUUCGAAAGUUGUUAUUUCUUCAGAGAUGUUUCGUUUAGGGGAAAUCGCGUACGCACUUACAUAAACGUAACACCGAUGCGUAAAACCGUCGGCGGUAUUGCUAAACGAAAAGGAAAAUCACGAUCCGAAAAGGGUUUCCAAGUUUCACCGAGCCCUUUUGCUCCUCUUCCUUUAGGGUAAAACCACUCGUGGGAAAUUUUCAGGGAAUUUGGAAAUGUUUGCUAUUAUGUCUGGGCGAAUAAUAAAAUUAUUGGCCAAAUAAUCAAAAGUAAA